Molecule: ribosomal RNA, 253 nt
Filed under: uncultured bacterium
Lineage: Bacteria
Description: partial 16S ribosomal RNA
Rfam family: Bacterial small subunit ribosomal RNA
Source: RNAcentral
UACAGAGGUCUCAAGCGUUGUUCGGAUUCAUUGGGCGUAAAGGGUGCGUAGGUGGCAUGGUAAGUCGGAUGUGAAAUCCCGGGGCUCAACCCCGGAACUGCAUUUGAUACUGCUGCGCUAGAGUACUGGAGAGGAGAUUGGAAUUUACGGUGUAGCAGUGAAAUGCGUAGAUAUCGUAAGGAAGACCAGUGGCGAAGGCGGAUCUCUGGACAGUUACUGACACUGAGGCACGAAGGCCAGGGGAGCAAACGGG